UUGCUUCGUUGCAGCAAACGAAGCAAAUCCACGCUCUAGGCGAAUGACGCGCAGCUCAGUGCGGUGCGAGUGUCAUUGCACAGGUUGAUGGGCUCACAGCCUCGGAGGCCGCCAUAGCUCCCUCGCUGACUCAUUGACAAGAAUCAUCGAGCACCACGAUCUCAUCAAGCUCCUCAGCAACGUCCGCAACAAUCUCAACACAACGCUCAAUGUGUGUGUAUCCUUCUUCCACUCAAAGAAAGGCUCCUCCCACGGUACGUUUUGCUCGCAGGACGUGGAGGGGAUGAUGUCCAUUUCAGUCGAGGCUGCGGAAGCCAGAGCAUCGCUCAAUGACGACAAGGAACUCGUGACGACUUUGGAGGCAUGAAACUCUCACUUCCUAUACACUCGCUGCUAACUUUGCCGGCAUUUCUUCCUAACUUAGAUGGCCCUCGAAGGGAUUUGCACUGGCGACAGCAUCUUCCAGAACUUUGUGACCAGCUUGUCAAGGAAGAGCCAAGCGCUGCAUGGGAUGAAGCGAAUGCGUUGAGCCUCUCUGCCUCUCUGCCUCUCAGCUUGUUCUGACGCAGAUAUAAACCCGCUGUGCAGAUCGGCGGGGAGCUGCCGGAUGUGUAUGACUUUGUGGCCCCGUGGUACAGUCUAGGUUGCGUGCAUUUUCAAGUGCUGAGACUUUGCUGCUGCAACUUACAGCUAUGAGAUCUUCCUGGUGAUGGUGCAGCUAUAUACGGGGUGCUUCAUCCAGAUGCUGAGGGCCCUGGCUGACCGUGCAAGUGACCACAUCCUCAAGGUCGGUGUACAUUGUGGAGCUUUCGAGUAACUUCUAAACAGGUAUACAAUAUCAAGAGCAGUUGCUAAACUUGGGGGUGGAUGAGUUAAGCACCGCGCUACUUGCCAAGGACUCGCCAGAGUAGAACUGCCGCCUAUCGAUAAGAUCUCGUUUGCGGCCUUACGCAGGGAGAUGGAAGGCGCUGGCUAUGCUACUGCGGGAGAGGAGAAUCGGAUGCUGGCUCAGGCCUACUGCGAUUGAGCAGCUGAUUACUCUAGGAAAACAGGUGGUUAUUCUAUAGACUGGAGGGUUUACUUCUUCCUGUGUUCAAUAUCAUUCUUAUAAAAACUCAAACCAUUUCCUGUCGCAA
Long non-coding RNA from Selaginella moellendorffii, 1136 nucleotides. RefSeq lists it as uncharacterized. The record is from RefSeq and is a predicted model, not a curated record. Lineage: Eukaryota; Viridiplantae; Streptophyta; Lycopodiopsida; Selaginellales; Selaginellaceae. The transcript is spliced from 2 exons.